GCCGGGCGUGGCAGCGCAUGCCUGUAAUCCCAACUACUAGGGAGGCUGAGGCAGAAGAAUCGUUUGAACCCAGGAGGCAGAGGUUGCAGUGAGCCGAGAUCGCACCACUGCAUUCCAUCCUGGGCAACAAAGCGAGACUCCGUCUCAA
Unclassified non-coding RNA from Macaca fascicularis (crab-eating macaque), 148 nucleotides. It matches the Rfam family "Metazoan signal recognition particle RNA". From Rfam's summary of the family: The signal recognition particle (SRP) is a universally conserved ribonucleoprotein. The record is from Ensembl. NCBI's taxonomy places the organism in Eukaryota, Metazoa, Chordata, Mammalia, Primates, Cercopithecidae.